CUAUUUCCAGGUCAGUUUUAAACGUCUUGUUUUUUCAUCUAAAAUGUGUAAGUGUAAGCAUACUUUUUUUUUUGCGAGUAUAUUAAAAUAGUUAAAGGGGCUGUCUCCUGUCCUUAACAUAGAAACAAUAUGCUAUUGUUCAGGCUCUACUUAUGAAAUCUAGGUGCAAGGCACGGUGCCCACCAAAAUCUCAUGAUUUAAGGAUACCAACUUUAAAAAGAAUCCCCAAAUUCAACAUCUGAAGGAAAAAACCUAAGAAAAUUAUAGACUAAACAGAAGACAACUGUAAAAUAAGUAUAAAUAAUAUCCUUGGAGAGAUUUGAGUGAAUCUAUCUUUAAAACUAAAUAUUACCGUGAAAUAGAAACAACUAUAGAUGUAGAAAAAUUUUAAACUAUUGACGGUGUUCAGGGCAGACCAUCCCAAGAUGAGCCAGUCUGCUAUGCAGAUUAUUUCGAGCUGAAAACAACCAAGGCUCAGAAGAUGCAGGAAGAACCUUUGACCUUCCCCCAAACUGCCUAAAAGAAUUUAAGAUAGAAGGCCUGUCCCAGGAAGAAACUAUCACCAUAAUAACUCUAGUAUAAUGUGAAGUAGGUGUGGUAGACAGGCAGAAACCAGCAAGACUUAUUUGAUCAAAGUUCUCUCUUGGAUCCCAUUGUCUUCACAAGGCAUGGCAAACAUUUGUUUACCAAAUAUUAACUCUUUUCACCUCCUGUAAGUUGCUUUCACCCCCUUUGAAGUCUCAGACCUCUAUCUCCUUCUUCUUGGUUCAGAAAGACUUAUAUACUUCAUUUUGCCUGACUGUCUUUUGAAUGCUUCAUGCUUAUGUGAAUUCCCCAUGGGCAGUGUCAACAAAACUCUCUGGAAUACAAGAAUUUAGUAGGAAAGCUUUACUGCUCAUACAGUUUCAAACCCAGAAGACGUGGCCUUAGGCAGCAAACCAAAAGUAUGCGCCAGGAGAACAAAGGAAGAGGGCUGUCUCAAAAAAAAUUUGCCAUCGAGUUUCCCACUCAGGUCUGCUUAUGCAAAUGAGGGAUGCAAGCCUCUUAGUGAUGAUUGGUUGUCACAGGUCACCGUUUUAUUGGUUAGGCCCAGGGGGCUGUUUGGGGCUUUUGUAAAAUAGGAACUUUGGCAGCGUCAAAGCUUAAGAACGCAUUCUGUGGUUUUCCUGAGAACAGAGUAUGUGACUGCAUCCCAGUCCCAUCAUGGCCAUUUGACUCAAUUUUGAUUUUAGGUUCUGGUUAGCCACAUAGAAUCCAUCUAGUUCUCAGGAGUUGUUUUAAUUUCAUUUUAUUCCACAGCACAUAUUAAACUUUGUUUUAUUUUCUCCUAUUAACCUGCCAUAAGAACCAGAAGGGGAAAGGGGGGGAAUUCUACCCUCCUCACACUAUGGUCCUCAAAAUAACAACCUAGAAACUGUUCAUUCUUGAAAAAAUGUGCCACUUCUCAUUCAACUACUGGGAGUUCACUAUAGUAGAUAACCAGUCCAAAGCUCCAACUUCCAUAAUCUUUGGUUGAUUCCUUUUUGAGGAUAUUUUGAGACCUUGAGCAAACAGGGACACUACCAAGAAAAUCGCUGCAAGUACUUUUCAUUUCGUUUGAAGCCUCUUCCUCUUACUAAAGUCAUACAGUGCUGAGCUCUCACCUUCUCCCUCCCUCCCUCACCUUUAUUUCUGACACAUUCUCCAAGUAGUUUUCAACACUGAAUGAAAAAUGUUGAAGAGAAAAAGACGUGCUCAUUAAGACUCUGGGCUGGCAGGAUAGCCACCACCCCUGCUUCCACAUCUGCCCCUUAGCAGAAUGGUACAAAGUUUAAAGCAUCAGGAAAAUUUUUAAAAGAUUGAAAAAUUAACUCUUUCUAGUUUUAGGGGCAUAACCUUAUCACAAGCAAAUGAGAGAUAUUUCACCCAGGCCUCCCACAAAGAUUACAAGGACUCAAAAUUCUAAAUUUCUUUUACUCACAGAGAUGAGUUAAUAGUUUUAGAAUUUUAGGCUCCUUGUGGGCCAUGGAGCUGAAUCUCCCCUAAGGGAGGAAGCUGAAAAGUAGUACUGGGAGGCUGGCCCAUUUGUCUGUUAAACACUGUAGGCACAGAGCCUGGGGCCCAUGAAAAUGUUUUAAGUUUAAUUUCUCUUAAAAUUAGAAGGAAAAAAAUGAAUAUAACAACAACAAAUACAGCUAGGAUUAUAGCAGUCUUUAUAAGAAUGCAGUUGUAAGAUAUGAUUUUUAAAUGUGUUUUAUGGAGGAAGGAGACCGCCAAAGUCCUAAUGCAGCCCUGACUGAGAAGCAGCUUUCCUGAUGCUCUAAGGGUGGACGGUGGUUUUGGAGGUCUUCAUUGGUAGUGAACACUGGACUCAAGAAGGCAUAGCACUCCACAGGUGCCAGGAUGGGGGUCAGAGGCAGGAGGAGUGGAUAGCAGCAAGUUGGGCUUGUCCACUUCAGGCAGGACCAGCAUCCAACAGCACCUGCAUGUAGCAGAAGGAGCAAGCAGAAUGACAGUACCGCAAGUUAAAGGUGUGGUCCUUGGAGUAUGAGACUUCUCCACAUUCCACCUGCCAGGUUGGGUAUAACCCUCAGGACCCUGAAGAAAGAGCGAGAUUCAGACUUCCCACCAACUCUAUCAGGUCAUAAAAACUCCCAGAAGAAAGGUACCCUCCCUGUACCAGGAGGAAGGAAGACAUUCUUCUCACCAGAGACCAGGAAUUUGCAGCCAAGAUAUCUGUAUAAACAAACCUUAUUAAACUAACCUUUAUCAUCUUAGUUACUAAUUCAUCAUUUACUACCCCUAGGCCAAACCCCUCUGUCUUGUCAAUUCUUCACAAAUGUAUUAUUUUUUGGUCUAAAAGGUGUAAAAGCUCCCCAUUCUGGUCACUUUUUCAGGUCUUCAUUCUCUUGUGAAGGCUCCCAUGUACGUGUAAAAAUUCAAUAAAAU
Molecule: long non-coding RNA, 2928 nt
Organism: Equus asinus (donkey)
Lineage: Eukaryota; Metazoa; Chordata; Mammalia; Perissodactyla; Equidae
Source: Ensembl